This is a long non-coding RNA of Alligator mississippiensis (American alligator), 8608 nucleotides long. RefSeq lists it as uncharacterized. The record is from RefSeq and is a predicted model, not a curated record. The transcript is spliced from 6 exons. NCBI's taxonomy places the organism in Eukaryota, Metazoa, Chordata, Crocodylia, Alligatoridae.
ACACGGGCGGACUCGGUGACGGACGGCGGCGGAGGGCACAGAAGAGCUGGUAGAGCUGGCCAGUGGGGGGGAGCCGUAACCCCAGAAGCGCCCUGAAGCGGCAGCGGCGCCUGCCUCACCGCGGCACGAGGAGGGCUGAGAAGAGCUGGUAGAGCUGGCCAGCGGGGGGGAGCGGUAACCCCAGAAGCGCCCUGAAGCGGCAGCGGCGCCUGCCUCACCGCGGCACGAGCGGAGAAGAGCUGGCCAGCGGGGGGGGGAAGCGGUAAUCCCUGAAGAAGGCGGCACCCCAGCAGGUGAGGCCGAUCCGCGGAGCUUCCUGCACCCUCUGUGCUGGAGCGUGGGGGAGGGGGGGGUAGCGAAUGGGCUGCAGCUGGGGACCUACGGCCCCUCUGCAGGCCCGGGGCUGUGAAAGGCUGUGGGGAGUGACGUCCCGAGCCACGUGGGUGCUGCGUGGCUUGUAGCUCCUGUCAAGCACCGGUGACCCGCGGGGUGGGCAGCGGUCGGGCUUGCAUGCUUCCAUUCCUUCCUUUAAUGCACCAUUUGGGGGCAGUGGGCGAGGUCCCCGGGCCUCGGCUGCAGCUUUCCCUUAAGGUGUCAUUCAGGGGGGCAGAGGCUCAGGUCCGUAGCCAGCUCCACUGCCCCCUUAAGGAGUCAUUUGGGGGGGCGGCAGGCAGGGUUGGUUUGUCUCUGCCCGCAGUCCUCUCUUAAGGCAUCGUUUGGGCCAGCAGUGGGGAGGGCCGGAGGGCCCCCACAGUCCUCCCUUGAGGUGUCAUUUGUGGGGGCAGCGGCAAGGUCCGUAGGCCGCCGCUGUCCUUGCUUAAGGUACCGUUUGGGUUGGCAGUGGGUCAGGUCUGAACCCCUGUAGUUCUCACUUACGGCCUUUGGGGGGGGGCAGCGGGCCAGGUCUGUCGGGCUUGGCCCGCGGCCCCUCCUUAAGGCGUCACUUGGGGCUGCAGUGGGCGAGGGCCUGGAGGUCGCCACUGUCUGCUCUCGGGGUCAUCUUGCCGAGCUGCGGUGUGGUGCUGCCCUGCUCGCAAACGGGUCAAGCACUGACAGUCUUUCACACCCCCAAGCCCGAGCUACGGUGUGGUGCUGCCUAGCUCUGUGGGCGGUCAAGCACUGGUGGUCACUUGAGGGGGCUUGUGCCCUUUCAAGGCCAUCCCAUAGGGAAGCACGAGCACAUGGGGUGCCACCAAAGAAAACCAGCAGAGAAGACAACACAAAAGCAGGUGUGACCUGGCCUGCUAUUUAAUGGACAAAUAAAAUUGAUCUGCCAGGCAUCUUCUUGGUGCUUGGUGCCUUUCACCUCCAAGUUUAUCCUUCCCCGCUGCGCUGUUUCUCUCAUCUCCUUUUCUGUUACUUCACAUCCAAGUUUCCCCGCCCGCUGCCCCCUUUAAUUUCUGUAGUGGUUCCCUUGUAACCACUGCAUGCUGAGUGCGUCCAAGCUGGUCAUCCAGGAUGCUGAAUCCCUUGCUGAUAAGGGAUCAAUGGAAGACAUUGCUUGCCUGGACCGGCCACCUGAGGCUGCAGCCCUGAAUCCCGCGAGACCGGUCCCCUUUGAGGGUCGAUGUGCAUCGCCCCAGGAAGGACAAGCAGACGGGACGGCUGGCAAGCAGCAGCGAGCUGACCAGGAGGGAAGAAGGCCAGACCAGCCAAACAGGAGGUAAAGGCCUCGGAAGAACUGGAAGGAGACGUGGAUGAGGAAAGCGGGGAAGAGGCGAGGUAGGAGAAAAGCCAGUCAGAGAAAUGGGAUGUGAAGGAAAGGGACUCUGGACAGAGUGGCUUCCCUGCCUUUAGGUCUCAAUCAUGUCUUGGCCAAAUUUGGGCUUUGUGAGCCUUUGGGCGAGCUCCCUGUAACUCUGAAAGGAGUCUCUGCCCUUGAUGCUGUUGCACUUUUGCAGCAGUCAGGUGGAAGGUGGACAUCCCUGUAAUCGAGGUGUGUACCCACCACCAUGUUUGUAAAGGCCGUGGAUCUGGUUAGUGGUCUUGCACAGCACAGCCCCCCCACCCUGUAAUCAGAGUCGAGGCCAGCUGUCAGACCUGGCUGCCAAUUGCACAGCAACCUGUAAGUGGGGUGCGUGCUGCUUUCUAACAUGAGAAAAAACGUCUAGCGUUGGACAUCCUGUAAUUGGGAGUCAAAAGUCCACUGCUAUUCCCGGCCAGUCGGAGAGAGCUCCUGUAAGCAGGGUGGACGUAGCCUCCUUCCACUGGCCUUAGACAGCCAGAGCAAUCUGCAGCGUUGUGCUGCAGGACGGCCUUGCAGACAGGAGCCAAGUCUCGUGGGGUGGCAGCCAACUCUUUAGACUCCAGAGCUUGAUGACUUUCCCGUGGUCUGGGUUGAAGUCUGUGGCCUCCUUUCCAAGCCCUGUGUCCAGGCACCUGUCCUUUUUAAUGCAUCUGUGUCUGACACUCCACGUCUAGACCCCUGGGCCGCCCUGUAACAAGGGUGCAAGUCUCGUGCCCCUGGUGGAGGGCUAAAUAGCACAGAACAGUGGACCGCCCUGUAAGCAGGGCCCAGGUCUCUGCCUUUGGGAACAGCUCUGUUUUUUGGCCUGGCGGCCUUCCCUGUAACCAGGGCUCUGGGCCUUUGCCUUUUGCCACCUAAGGGCAGCGUGGCUAGCGAGACGGACCGUGCCCUGUAAGGAGGGUGUGAGUGCUAUGUCUCUUGAUGGAGGGUUGACUUCUGCAGAGCUCUGGACUACCCUGUAAGCAGGGUCCAGGUCACAAUGUGCCUUUGCGGACAGCUCUGUCCUUUGCCAGGCCUGACAGCCCUCCUUGUAAGCAAGGCUCUGGGCUUCCCUGUUGCCCACCAUGGGCAGUGUGGCUAGCAAGACGGACCAUUCCCUGUAAUGAGGGUGCAAGUCUCACGUCUCUUGGAGGGCUAGAUUGCGGAGAGCUGUGGACCACCUUGUAAGCAGGGUGCCGGUCUCAGUGUGCCUUUGGGGACAGCUCUGUCUUAGCUGGCUGUGGGCCUUUCCCUUUUGCCCCCCAUGGGCAGCGUGGCGAGUGAGACGGACCGUGCCCUGUAACGAGAGUGCGAGUCCUCUGUGUCCUGUUACACAGAUAGUUCCUGCAGAGCUGUGGACCGCCCUCUAAGCAGGGUCCAGGUCACAGUGUGCCUUUGGGGACAGCUCUGUCCUUUGCCAGGCCUGACGGCCCACCCUGUAAGCAGGGCUGUGGGCCUCUCCCUUUUGCCCCCCGUGGGCAGCCUGACUAGCCAGCGGGGCCGGGCCCUGUAACGAGGGUGCGAGUCCUGUGCAUCCUGUUGCACACCUAGGUUCUACAGAGCUGCGGACCGCCCUGUAAGCAGGGUCCAGGUCACAGUGUGCCUUUGGGGACAGUCCUGUCCUUUGCCAGGCCUGACGGCCCGCCCUGUAAGCAGGGCUGUGGGCCUCUCCCUUUUGCCCCCCGUGGGCAGCCUGACUAGCCAGGCGGGCCGUGCCCUGUAACGAGGGCGCCGGUCUCAGCCUUGUCGCCCCCUGGGAGCGGAGGAGGAUUUUCAGUGUAAGGCUCGAGGUCAAGCAGUUUGCAGCAUCGAGCUCCUUUCCAGCCUGGGAACACUUUUUCCCGUGCCAGUGUGUGGAGAGCGAGAGAGAGGAGCGCCUGGGAGUGAAAGCGUUUGUUAUUUUCUUUUUGUUGUUAAAAUCGCUGCAGCGUACUUUAUUUUCUUCCCAGUGCUGGGAAAGGGGCGAGAUGCGUCUUCGUAGCCUUCUCCUCCCACCUCCAUACCUAGGGGGACGGAUAUCCAGGCCUUUUGGUCUCGGGGAGCAUUAGGCCCCCUCUAAUAAUUUUGGGCACACGGUCUCCCUGUAUUUCAAGGUACAGGCCUUAGGUCCCUUGUUUUUGGGUUGCUUUGGGCACUUGGUAGCUCGAUUGCAGUUCCUGCCCUCCUGGAGAGACAGCCACGUAUUCUCCACUUGAGUCCCUGGGGACGAGUGCCCUGGCACUUGGCCAGCCAUUCCUCUGCGCCCCCGACCCCAGCCUGCAGCCUGUAAGCAGGGUCCAGGCCCCCUUGAUUCUCUGGGUUGGGUCUCGUCCCACUCGGUGAGGUUGGCCACAGAUGAUCCCCACAGACUGCAGGGAAGGUUGCAGGCUUCUGGAGGAUACUGGGCGCGCUGGGACCCCUGAGGCUUCGUGACCUUCCUGUAACUCAGGUCCAGGUCUCUGCUCUGCUGCUCCUGGCACCAUUGAGAUGGUCUCCUCUCGCACCCUGUAAACAGGGCUGCGCCCCCCCAGCCCCUCUUACCUUGGGGGAGGAGGCCUCCUUUAGCCCUUUGGGCUCUGUGGCAGCCGUGAUGGGAGGCUGAAGUAAUGGCCUUUGUGUCCCCGGACACAGGGCUGCUUUGAGCCCUGAUUGAGACCACCUGAGGCACCCGUCAGCUGGCAUUCAGGGCUUUACAGGUUUUCUCUGGGCUUCAUGCCCCGCAGCCAGCUUUGUGCAAGGAGCACCGCCCUGUAAGCAGGGUUGCCGGUGUCUGUGGUCACCUUCAUGGUGCCGUCCUAGCACUUCUGUCCAGAGUCCUGGCCCAUCGCACUCUGCUUCUGGCUGCCCCGGAUGUCAGCAGCCGAGCCCGCAUACGUCUGCCCUCCCCCAUCUCUACGGAUAGAGGACAGAUUGGCAGCAGAUUCAGGCCCUGAUAGGAGCAGCUGUAAAGAUGGUGCACAAGCAGGAGUCAGCUGACAAGGAGGGAAGAAAACCAUGCAAAGCUGCCAGAUGGACAAGCAGUGGGCGAGCCCACCACACCACAGCGAAAAGCCAGGAAAAUGGGAUGCGAAGGAAAAGGACUCUGGACAGAGUUAUCUCCCUGCCUUUAAGUAUCAGUCACGUAUUACCCAAUUUUGACUGCAUGAGCUCUCUGUAAUGCAGAAACGAGUUUGUGCCUUUAAUGCUGUUGCACUUCUGUGGCAGUUGGGUGGAAGUGGACAACCCUGUAAGCAAGGCGUGUGUCACCGCCACCUCGUUUGUAAAGUGUGGAUCUAGUCGGUGGUCUUGUGCAGUGGGGCCGCCCUGUAAGCGGGGCCCGGGCCAGCUGCCAGACAUGACUGCCAGGGGCGCAGCCUCCUGUAAGCAGGGUGCGUGCUGCGUCUUACUGCAUAAGAAUGACAGACAAUUUGAAUGUUCCUAGUGUUGGAUGUCCUGUAAUUGGGAGUCAAAGUCCACUGCUGUUCCCAGCCAGUCAGAGAGGAGCCCCUGUAAGCAGGGUAGACGUAGCCUCCUUCCACUGGCCUUAGAUAUCCGGAGCAGUCUGCAGCGUUGUGCCGCAGGACGGCCUGGCAGACCGGAGCCGAGUCUCGUGGGGUGACAGCCAACUCUUUAGACCCCAGAGCUUGAUGACCUUCCCGUGGCCUGGGUUGAAGCCUGUGGCCUCCUUCCCAAUCCCUGUGUCCAGGCACCUGUCCUUUUUCAUGCAUCUGUGCCUGGCACGCCACAUCCAGACAGCUGGGCCACCCUGUAAGGAGGGUGCGAGUCCCAUGUCUCUUGGUGCAGGACUAGACUGCGCAGAGCUGUGGACCACCCUGUAAGCAGGGUUCAGGUCUCAAUGUGCCUUUGAGGGCAGCUCUGUCUUUUGGCUGGCUGAUGGCCUUCCCUGUAAGUAGGGCUGUGGGCCUGUCCCUUUUGCCCCCUUUGGGCAGUCUGACUAGUCAGACGGACCGUGCCCUGUAACGAGGGUGCUAGUUCCGUGCCCCUGUUGCAGGCCUAGAUUGUGCAGAGCUCUGGACCGCCCUGUAAGCAGGGUACAGGUCUGUGUGUGCCUUUGAGGGCAGCUCUGUCCUUGGUCUGGCUGUGGCCCCCCUGUAAGCAGGGCCUUGGGUCUUUCCCUUUUGCCUUCUGUGGGCAGUGUGCCUAAUGAGAUGGAUCGUGCCCUGUAAGGAGGGUGUGAGUCCCACAUUUCUUGGUGGAGAGCUAAAUUGUGCAGAGCUGUGGACCACCCUGUAAUCAGGGUCCAGGUCUCUAUGUGCCUUUGGGGACAGCCCUGUCCUUUGCCUGGCCCGGCGGCCCCCCUGUAAACAGGGCUCAGGGCCUUUGCCUUUUGCCCCCCUGUGGGCAGUGUGGCGAGUGAGAAGGACUGUGCCCUGUAACGAGGGUGCGAGUCCCAUGUCUUUUGGUGUAGGGCUGGCUUUAGCAGAGCUGUGGACGACCCUGUAAGCAGGGUCCAGGUCACAGUGUGCCUUUGGGGACAGCUCUGUCCUUUGCCAGGCCUGACGGCCCACCUUGUAAGCAGGGCUGUGGGCCUCUGCCUUUUGCUCCUCUUGGGCAGUGUGGCUAGUCAGACGGACCGUGCCCUGUAACGAGGGUGCGAGUCCUGUGCAUCCUGUUGCACACCUAGGUUCUACAGAGCUGCGGACCGCCCUGUAAGCAGGGUCCAGGUCACAGUGUGCCUUUGGGGACAGCCCUGUCCUUUGCCAGGCCUGACGGCCCGCCCUGUAAGCAGGGCUGUGGGCCUCUCCCUUUUGCCCCCCGUGGGCAGCCUGACUAGCCAGCCGGGCCGGGCCCUGUAACGAGGGCACCGGUCUCUGCCUUGUCGCCCCCUGGGAGCGGAGGAGGAUUUUCAGCGUAAGGCUCGAGGUCAAGCAGUUUGCAGCAUCGAGCUCCUUUCUGGCCUGGGAACACUUUUUCCCGUGUCAGUGUGUGGAGAGUGAGAGAGAGGAGCGCCUGGGAGUGAAAGCAUUUGUUAUUUCCUUUUUGUUGUUAAAAUCGCUGCAGCGUACUUUAUUUUCUUCCCAGUGCUGGGAAAGGGGCGAGGUGCGUCCUUGUAGCCUUCUCCUCCCACCUCCAUACCUAGGGGGACGGAUAUCCAGGCCUUUUGGUCUCGGGGAGCGUUAGGCCCCCUCUCUAAUACUUUUGGGCACACGGCCUCCCUGUAUGUCAGGGUACAGGCCUUAGGUCCCCUCUUUUUGGGUUGCUUUGGGCACUUGGUAGCUCGUUUGCAGUUCCUGCCUUCCUGGAGAGAGAGCCAUGUAUUCUCCACUUGAGUCCCUGGGGACGAGUGUCCUGGCACUUGGCCAGCCGUUCCUCUGCGCCCCCGGCCUGCAGCCUGUAAGCAGGGUCCAGGCCCCCUUGCUUCUCCGGGUCGGGUCUCGUCCCACUCGGUGAGGUUGGCCACAGAUGAUCCCCACAGACUGCAGGGAAGGUUGCAGGCUUGUGGAGGAUACUGGGCGCGCUGGGACCCCUGAGGCUUCGUGACCUUCCUGUAACUCAGGUCCAGGUCUCUGCUCUGCUGCUCCUGGCACCUUGAGAUGGUCUCCUCUAGCACCCUGUAAACAGGGCUGCGCCCCCCCAGCCCCUCUGAUCUUGGGGGUGGAGGCCUCCUUUAGCCCUUUGGGCUCUGUGGCAGCCGUGAUGGGAGGCUGAAGUCAUGCGCUUUGUGUCCCUAGACACAGGGCUGCUUUGAGCCCUGAUUGAGACCGCCUGAGGCACCCGUCAGCUGGCAUUCAGGGCUUCACAAGUUUUCUCUGGGCUUCAUGCCCCGCAGCCAGCUUUGUGCAGGGAGCACUGCCCUGUAAGCAGGGUUGCCGGUGUCUGUGGUCACCUUCAUGGUGCCGUCCUAGCACUUCUGUCCAGAGUCCUGGCCCGUCGCGAUCUGCUCCUGGCUGGCCCAGGUGUUGGCAGCCGAGCCCACAGACGUCUGCCCUCCUUACUUUCUGCGGACAGAGGACAGUGGCCACAGGUCCAGAGGAAGAAGCAGAGAAGACAACAGACAAAUAGGAGUUAACGUGUAACCAGGACAGAAAACAGUGCCAGCCCACCGGGAGACAAAGGUCCCUGAAGAGCAGCUGGAGAAGAAGGAACAGAAGCAGGACAAGAAAGCUCAGAAACAACAAGUGUGGGUUGGGGUGGACAGGAGAAAGAGAGGCACAUGUUUAAUGUAUGCUUAGAUAAGUACAGAUGGAGACUGUCGUGUGCAUCUCUACACUUUCAAACACUCAGUUAGGAGCAAGCUGCUGCACGCUUCAAGUUGCACCAUGGACUCGGUCUUGGGUUGGCCUUAUUUGUAGGCAGUGAAGUUGAGGCGUUGUGCUAGUUGUGUGUAUUGGGUUGGCCCCGAUUAGGCAGUGAGGUUGAGGCGUUGUGCUAGUUGUGUGUAUUGGGUUGGCCUGGAUUUGUAGGCAGUGAGGUUGAGGUGUACUAGUUAUGCGUAUUGAUAUGUGGCAGUCUAGGUUUUUGCAGGUUGUUUGGCUUUGCUAGUUCAGGAGUUGAUCAAAAUAGCUGUGACUGAAGGUAGCAUGUAGGGUUUUCUGGGUUGGAUUGUCAGUGUUGGUGUAGAAAUGCAGGUUUGUGCUCCGUUCGGUUAGUGGCUUGGCUGUAGCUUGGUUUAGCCGUAGGUUGUGGGGCCCGUUUGAGGCUGUUUGUGGUGCAAUUUGGUUGCGUCUGUAAGUUAAAGCUCCAUGGGUGUUUGAAAGGGUUAAUCUCCAUCUCCAUGCACGAAGAUCCUAGUGGUAGUUGGCGUGCUCAGCGUCAAACCAGAUGUGCACAAUCGAACAAUAAACGGUAUAAAAAACCUUUUCACCUUGUGCCUGGUGCUCUUCUACACUGAGAGGACUUGGCCAUUACCCUUUCCUGUUGCAAUCUGGCUGGAGAAAUAAACUUUUUCAUUCUGUCUACUGA